RNAcentral lists this ribosomal RNA (303 nucleotides) under Clostridioides difficile. RNAcentral describes it as "partial 23S ribosomal RNA". It matches the Rfam family "Bacterial large subunit ribosomal RNA", at positions 1559 to 1874 of the family's 2925-position model. Lineage: Bacteria; Bacillati; Bacillota; Clostridia; Peptostreptococcales; Peptostreptococcaceae. The record is from RNAcentral.
GGAUGUGAUGGGGAGCGAAAUUUAGUAGCGAAGUAGCUGAUUUCACACUGUCAAGAAAAGUCUCUAUCGAGGUUAAAGGUACCCGUACCGCAAACCGACACAGGUGGGUGAGGAGAGUAUCCUAAGGCCAGCGAGAGAACUGUUGUUAAGGAACUCGGCAAAAUGACCCCGUAACUUAGGGAUAAGGGGUGCCACCAUCAGGUGGCCGCAGAGAAUAGGCCCAAGCGACUGUUUACCAAAAACAUAGGUUUCUGCUAAGUCGCAAGACGAUGUAUAGGAGCUGACGCCUGCCCGGUGCUGGAA